CGCGUGAGUGAUGAAGGUUUUCGGAUCGUAAAGCUCUGUUGUUAGGGAAGAACAAGUGCCGUUCAAAUACGGCGGCCCCUUGACGGUACCUAACCAGAAAGCCACGGCUAACUACGUGCCAGCAGCCGCGGUAAUACGUAGGUGGCAAGCGUUGUCCGGAAUUAUUGGGCGUAAAGGGCUCGCAGGCGGUUUCUUAAGUCUGAUGUGAAAGCCCCCGGCUCAACCGGGGAGGGUCAUUGAAAACUGGGGAACUUGAGUGCAGAAAAGGAGAGUGAAAUUCCACGUGUAGCGGUGAAAUGCGUAAAGAUGUGAAGGAACACCAUUGGCAAAGGCGACUCUCUGGCCUGUAACUGACCCUGAGGAGCAAAAGCGGGGGGAGCGAACAGGAUUAAAUACCCUGGUAGUCCACCCCGUAAACAAUGAGUGCUAAAUGUUAGGGGGUUUCCGCCCCUUAUUGCUGCAUCUAACGCAUUAACCACUCCCCCUGGGGAGUACGGUCGCAAGACUGAAACUCAAAGGAAUUGAGGGGGGCCCGCACAAGCGGGAGAGCAUGUGUUAUAUUUCUAAGCAACGCAAAGAACCUUACCAGGUCUUGACAUCCUCUGACAAUCCUAGAGAUAG
Molecule: ribosomal RNA, 621 nt
Filed under: bacterium
Lineage: Bacteria
Description: bacterial SSU rRNA
Rfam family: Bacterial small subunit ribosomal RNA
Source: RNAcentral